This 71-nucleotide transfer RNA is filed under the name Xenopus fischbergi (Fischberg's clawed frog). RNAcentral's name for it is "tRNA-Ile". It matches the Rfam family "tRNA". From Rfam's summary of the family: Transfer RNA (tRNA) molecules are approximately 80 nucleotides in length. The record is from RNAcentral. Lineage: Eukaryota; Metazoa; Chordata; Amphibia; Anura; Pipidae.
GGAAAUGUGCCCGAAAGUAAGGGAUCACUUUGAUAGAGUGAAUCAUAUGGGUUCAAACCCCAUCAUCUCCU